UGAGUCAAAGCUUUUUGAUGCUUGUUGCAACGAUUCCGCUGAUUCGCGUUCGCAGUGUUUUUACGUUCGACGUGUACGAAGUUUAUAUAAACGCUAUUUUUGAAACGACAACAUUCGAUAUCGCCUCUUCUCAAACGUUACACGCAGACAUAAAAAGGUGCAACGAUCAAAAGCCGCGGGGAGUUUUGAUAAAGUUUGUCGACGGAACUUUCUCAGACGAUCGUCCAAUAUGGUCAGAAAAUAAUUUAAUUUUCGAAUGAUUGUUUAAUAGAACCUUAGUUGAUGAGCUUUCGAAGAAAAUCGAUUGAAUCUUAUCAAAAUUAGUCAUUUGCGUCAAGGACACGCGUGUGUGCCAGGCACGUAUUUAUGAAGGAAAGGGGGGACCAAUCAACGAUCGGGACGUGGGGAAAUUGCCAUAUAUGGGCAGCGGCAUGCAAUAGGCCCCUCCGAGUGUGCUCUCUUGCUGUCUCGACGAAAAGAGCGAAAAGAGGGUGUGUGUGCGGUCUACUCGGGAAGAGGCAUGAGAGAUACGAACUCAACGCAGCUCGUGUAUUAUAGGUUUCAAGCGUUUCGACCAAUUCCACUCCCUCUGCAUCGCCACACGCGCGCCAACCACCUGGUGGACGAAACACGAAUCAUUUUUAUCCAGUACAAACGGCAAUUGAACUCAUUCGUAAAGACGAUUUCAAUCUCAACAGAGCCUUAUCGGGCUGAUUGACAUAAAUUCAUUUCCAUGUGAUUAUUCAAGUGAAACGGGAAGAACUGCACGAAUAUUUAAAAAAUGUAUUCGAAGAAUAUUUUUACAUUUUGUAUUUCUUUGAGAGAGUUUAGUGUUUGGGAACUGGUGUGCGUAUCUGAGUAAAUUCGAAUUCGAGAUACAAAAAAACGACCAAUUGUUAUGAAAGCGCGUGUCACGGUCUUUUUAUUUUCAGUAAUUAAUCGUGUAUCGAUGACUCGUAUUAUUCUUAGUUGUACCUAUUUCUGACAGGAAUUUAUUUAAAAAAUCGCUUUUCAUGACAGAUAUAACUUUACUUGCUUUUUUGUCCGUUUCGCACCCCCAUUUCCCUCAAAAUAAAUAAUCAACUCUAACGAUUUUGAAUGAAUCGUAAUUAUGUUCAAUCACAGCUUCAGCUCGAAACCGUGCCAUUGUUUUUUCAGUAGCGAAUAAAAAUAGUGGCCAUCGCGAGUAGAAUUAUUUCUUUGAAAAAGUUACGCCCUCUAAUCAGACGCGUUGUACGAUCGACAACGAAAGUUACGAAACCUCGAACACUGAGAUCAUGGUUUUUUAGAAUCCGAGUGGACACAAGAAUGAUUUUGAAUAAAAAAAAAUCACCGAUGAAAGGGUACGAGAUGAAAAAGUCCAAACAAUUUCCAGUCGUAGUGACUUUAAUGAGAUCCUAUUACAUUCCUCCCACCGUUUCACAUUUUUCGAUCGCAUGCUAUCGCUAUUAUACGUAUCUACAUAUAUUUAUAAUUACAAUGUAUAUUGUAUGAUUGAUGUAUAUACAAACGGAAAUAAAAAAAGCAACGAGGGCGAGUUUCA
Molecule: long non-coding RNA, 1543 nt
Organism: Venturia canescens
Lineage: Eukaryota; Metazoa; Arthropoda; Insecta; Hymenoptera; Ichneumonidae
Exons: 2
Source: RefSeq, a predicted model, not a curated record